This 118-nucleotide small nucleolar RNA is filed under the name Echinops telfairi (small Madagascar hedgehog). RNAcentral's name for it is "Small nucleolar RNA SNORA61 (ENSETEG00000024057.1)". The record is from RNAcentral. Lineage: Eukaryota; Metazoa; Chordata; Mammalia; Afrosoricida; Tenrecidae.
ACCCUCUAGAUUCCUUACCCCUCAGAUCUAAAUAUUGGACUGAGUGGCUAAAAAAGGAGGAAAAGUUAAACUGAAAUGGACUUGUCUUAGGUGACAUACAUGUUUGUUUCAAACAUAU